AUUGAACGCUGGCGGCGUGCUUUACACAUGCAAGUCGAACGGUAACAGGGUGCUUGCACCGCUGGCGAGUGGCGAACGGGUGAGUAAUGCGUCGGAACGUGCCGAGUAGUGGGGGAUAACGCAGCGAAAGUUGUGCUAAUACCGCAUACGUACUGAGGUAGAAAGUGGGGGACCUUCGGGCCUCACGCUAUUCGAGCGGCCGACGUCUGAUUAGCUAGUAGGUGAGGUAAAGGCUCACCCAGGCGACGAUCAGUAGCGGGUCUGAGAGGAUGAUCCGCCACACUGGGACUGGGACACGGCCCAGACUCCUACGGGAGGCAGCAGUGGGGAAUUUUGGACAAUGGGCGAAAGCCUGAUCCAGCCAUGCCGCGUGUCUGAAGAAGGCCUUCGGGUUGUAAAGGACUUUUGUCAGGGAGGAAAUCCCUAGUGCUAAUAACACUGGGGGAUGACAGUACCUGAAGAAUAAGCACCGGCUAACUACGUGCCAGCAGCCGCCGUAA
RNAcentral lists this ribosomal RNA (500 nucleotides) under uncultured bacterium. RNAcentral's name for it is "partial 16S ribosomal RNA". It matches the Rfam family "Bacterial small subunit ribosomal RNA", at positions 30 to 523 of the family's 1533-position model. The record is from RNAcentral.